Long non-coding RNA from Stylophora pistillata, 1387 nucleotides. Lineage: Eukaryota; Metazoa; Cnidaria; Anthozoa; Scleractinia; Pocilloporidae. The record is from RefSeq and is a predicted model, not a curated record.
UAUGGGGAACGUAUCACUCGUUUAGAGCCAAUGAUUUUCCUGAGGUUCGAGACAAGUCAAACAAAUGUCACUUUCGGGUAUCCGGGUAUUUGCCAUCUUGGAAGGGGUGAUGAUCACGUGCAAUACAUAUGUGCUUGUUUUCCCAGAAAGCUACUGUCGGAAACCACUCAACAGAUUCCGAGAAUCCAUCUUACACGAAGGAGGUCUUCCAUCAUUGUCCUGACGAAAAAUAUCGUAAAUCGUUGAAAGGUCGGUUUGGACUAUUUGGUCAGUUUAAGAUAAAGUCAACACCGCUCAAUCAGUGAGAAAGACAACAACUUCCCUAGGAGGGUUACGGACCACUAACAUCUCGAAACCUUUAUACAGCGCUUGUGAUCACAGUGAUCAGAGAAUAACCACAUUAAGAUGUUAGCACGAUGAAGCUGUUACAAUUAAAUUUCGACGUACUCUCCCUUGAUGGCGGAAAUGAAAUGAGUAACCGAGUUUAAAUUCAACGAGCAUCACUCUGUAUGUGAGUAUGGUUAACGAUAGUUAUCAAAACGCCAGUUGGCGUUACCGAACACAAUUUAUUUAAAGUUAUUUUUCAAUCAGAUUAAACUUUUGAGGUGCUCUUCUCUGUUGGGAUGCCCCAUUCUCCUUGCCUUAUUCUCAGUUAGGACUAAACUUUUUUAGUGGAUGAAAUCUUUUCAUGAGAAUAUUUAGAAUGCAAUCGGCAAACUUUUGUGAACGUUUGAAAAAUGUAAAAUUUGAUACUCCAGGCUCCUGUGUUGUCUGGCCUAGAGAACGAUCAAAACCUGGUCUGACCUAAUCAAGCUUGAACUCGAGUUCAAUUUAGAAGUUGAUAAUUUAUUGCUGUGGGACUACCACCAACAACAGCUAAUAAGAAUACGAGCCUCGUUCAAAAGCGGCAAAAUGUAUUCAUGCAUUAAAAAUAUCUCGCUCAACAAGAACCAAGACCCCCUAGCAGCACGAAUGAAAGCACUUACUUUCGAAAUACACACAAAUUAACAUAGGAACGAAAACUACAUUGACUCUACCAGGAAUCUAUUUUUUAUAUAACAGUAAAGCAAUAAUAUCUGAAUUAAAAUCAAAUAGCCUCCUUUAUACAAGAAAACCCUUAUAAAUGAAAACCUGUCAAAACGAUACAUCGUAUCGAAGAAUUUGGCUUGGGGUUUGAACAUUUGAGUCUAUUUUCAAGAUUUACAAGAAACGAUGAAAGUAAGGAAUUUUUCCAGUCAUUGGCAAAAAAAAUCUAUGCAUUACUUGAGUGUUUGUAAAUAUGAAAAACAAUUAAAAUCUGACAUACUUUCAUGUGUUCGUAUCAUCAAAACUGAAAUGAUUUGUCAUCCAGUUUACUUGAAUUUUUUUCUGAAUAUACAAAUAUGUA